GCUGACGUAGCUCAGUGGUAGAGCAGCGCACUCGUAAUGCGCAGGCCGAGGGUUCGAAUCCCUCCGUCAGCUCCA
Molecule: transfer RNA, 75 nt
Filed under: Clostridia bacterium
Lineage: Bacteria; Bacillati; Bacillota; Clostridia
Description: tRNA-Thr
Rfam family: tRNA
About the family: Transfer RNA (tRNA) molecules are approximately 80 nucleotides in length. Their secondary structure includes four short double-helical elements and three loops (D, anti-codon, and T loops). Further hydrogen bonds mediate the characteristic L-shaped molecular structure. tRNAs have two regions of fundamental functional importance: the anti-codon, which is responsible for specific mRNA codon recognition, and the 3' end, to which the tRNAs corresponding amino acid is attached (by aminoacyl-tRNA synthetases). tRNAs cope with the degeneracy of the genetic code in two manners: having more than one tRNA (with a specific anti-codon) for a particular amino acid; and 'wobble' base-pairing, i.e. permitting non-standard base-pairing at the 3rd anti-codon position.
Source: RNAcentral